GAUGAACGCUGGCGGCGUGCCUAAUACAUGCAAGUCGAGCGAACGGACGAGAAGCUUGCUUCUCUGAUGUUAGCGGCGGACGGGUGAGUAACACGUGGAUAACCUACCUAUAAGACUGGGAUAACUUCGGGAAACCGGAGCUAAUACCGGAUAAUAUUUUGAACCGCAUGGUUCAAAAGUGAAAGACGGUCUUGCUGUCACUUAUAGAUGGAUCCGCGCUGCAUUAGCUAGUUGGUAAGGUAACGGCUUACCAAGGCAACGAUGCAUAGCCGACCUGAGAGGGUGAUCGGCCACACUGGAACUGAGACACGGUCCAGACUCCUACGGGAGGCAGCAGUAGGGAAUCUUCCGCAAUGGGCGAAAGCCUGACGGAGCAACGCCGCGUGAGUGAUGAAGGUCUUCGGAUCGUAAAACUCUGUUAUUAGGGAAGAACAUAUGUGUAAGUAACUGUGCACAUCUUGACGGUACCUAAUCAGAAAGCCACGGCUAACUACGUGCCAGCAGCCGCGGUAAUACGUAGGUGGGCAGCGUUAUCCGGAAUUAUUGGGCGUAAAGCGCGCGUAGGCGGUUUUUUAGUCUGAUGUGAAAGCCCACGGCUCAACCGUGGAGGGUCAUUGGAAACUGGAAAACUUGAGUGCAGAAGAGGAAAGUGGAAUUCCAUGUGUAGCGAUGAAAUGCGCAGAGAUAUGGAGGAACACCAGUGGCGAAGGCGACUUUCUGGUCUGUAACUGACGCUGAUGUGCGAAAGCGUGGGGAUCAAACAGGAUUAGAUACCCUGGUAGUCCACGCCGUAAACGAUGAGUGCUAAGUGUUAGGGGGUUUCCGCCCCUUAGUGCUGCAGCUAACGCAUUAAGCACUCCGCCUGGGGAGUACGACCGCAAGGUUGAAACUCAAAGGAAUUGACGGGGACCCGCACAAGCGGUGGAGCAUGUGGUUUAAUUCGAAGCAACGCGAAGAACCUUACCAAAUCUUGACAUCCUUUGACAACUCUAGAGAUAGAGCCUUCCCCUUCGGGGGACAAAGUGACAGGUGGUGCAUGGUUGUCGUCAGCUCGUGUCGUGAGAUGUUGGGUUAAGUCCCGCAACGAGCGCAACCCUUAAGCUUAGUUGCCAUCAUUAAGUUGGGCACUCUAAGUUGACUGCCGGUGACAAACCGGAGGAAGGUGGGGAUGACGUCAAAUCAUCAUGCCCCUUAUGAUUUGGGCUACACACGUGCUACAAUGGACAAUACAAAGGGCAGCGAAACCGCGAGGUCAAGCAAAUCCCAUAAAGUUGUUCUCAGUUCGGAUUGUAGCCUGCAACUCGACUACAUGAAGCUGGAAUCGCUAGUAAUCGUAGAUCAGCAUGCUACGGUGAAUACGUUCCCGGGUCU
RNAcentral lists this ribosomal RNA (1371 nucleotides) under uncultured bacterium. Its description in RNAcentral is "bacterial SSU rRNA". It matches the Rfam family "Bacterial small subunit ribosomal RNA", at positions 28 to 1381 of the family's 1533-position model. The record is from RNAcentral.